This 429-nucleotide ribosomal RNA is filed under the name Chloroflexota bacterium. RNAcentral describes it as "Chloroflexi bacterium partial 16S ribosomal RNA". It matches the Rfam family "Bacterial small subunit ribosomal RNA", at positions 355 to 776 of the family's 1533-position model. Lineage: Bacteria; Bacillati; Chloroflexota. The record is from RNAcentral.
UGGGGAAUAUUGCACAAUGGGCGCAAGCCUGAUGCAGCCAUGCCGCGUGUAUGAAGAAGGCCUUCGGGUUGUAAAGUACUUUCAGUCGGGAGGAAGGUGGUAAGGUUAAUAACCUUAUCAAUUGACGUUACCGACAGAAGAAGCACCGGCUAACUCCGUGCCAGCAGCCGCGGUAAUACGGAGGGUGCAAGCGUUAAUCGGAAUUACUGGGCGUAAAGCGCACGCAGGCGGUUGAUUGAGUCAGAUGUGAAAUCCCCGGGCUUAACCCGGGAAUUGCAUCUGAUACUGGUCAGCUAGAGUCUUGUAGAGGGGGGUAGAAUUCCAUGUGUAGCGGUGAAAUGCGCAGAUAUCUGGAGGAACACCGAUGGCGAAGGCAGGUCACUGGGCCAUUACUGACGCUGAGGAGCGAAAGCAUGGGUAGCGAACAGG